This 446-nucleotide ribosomal RNA is filed under the name uncultured bacterium. RNAcentral's name for it is "partial 16S ribosomal RNA". It matches the Rfam family "Bacterial small subunit ribosomal RNA", at positions 338 to 795 of the family's 1533-position model. The record is from RNAcentral.
CCUACGGGUGGCAGCAGUCGAGAAUCAUUCACAAUGGGGGAAACCCUGAUGGUGCGACGCCGCGUGGGGGAAUGAAGGUCUUCGGAUUGUAAACCCCUGUCAUGUGGGAGCAAAUUAAAAAGAUAGUACCACAAGAGGAAGAGACGGCUAACUCUGUGCCAGCAGCCGCGGUAAUACAGAGGUCUCAAGCGUUGUUCGGAAUCACGGGGCGUAAAGGGUGCGUAGGCUGUUUCGUAAGUCGUGUGUGAAAGGCGCGGGCUCAACCCGCGGACGGCACAUGAUACUGCGAGACUAGAGUAAUGGAGGGGGAACCGGAAUUCUCGGUGUAGCAGUGAAAUGCGUAGAUAUCGAGAGGAACACUCGUGGCGAAGGCGGGUUCCUGGACAUUAACUGACGCUGAGGCACGAAGGCCAGGGGAGCGAAAGGGAUUAGAUACCCCAGUAGUC